UCCUGGAUAGCUCGGCUGGUUAAGAGCAUGGGGAUGUUAUCAUCCACGCCAAGGUUGUGGGUUCGAUUCCCGUACGGGAC
Molecule: non-coding RNA, 80 nt
Organism: Podarcis lilfordi (Lilford's wall lizard)
Lineage: Eukaryota; Metazoa; Chordata; Lepidosauria; Squamata; Lacertidae
Source: the annotation of a GenBank genome assembly